RNAcentral lists this transfer RNA (74 nucleotides) under Cytophagia bacterium. RNAcentral's name for it is "tRNA-Met". It matches the Rfam family "tRNA". Rfam says of the family: Transfer RNA (tRNA) molecules are approximately 80 nucleotides in length. The record is from RNAcentral. RNAcentral also lists the same sequence under 1 other name. Lineage: Bacteria; Pseudomonadati; Bacteroidota; Cytophagia.
GGCGAUGUAGCUCAGUUGGUUAGAGCACCGGAAUCAUAAUCCGGGUGUCCGGGGUUCGAGUCCCUGCGUCGCCA